GCCGAAAGCCAGCAAGAAACCGAAACCUGCCAGCAACAAGAGUGAGCUUGGAAGCCAACUGUGCAGCCCCAGCUGGGCUUUGAGAUGACUGCAACCCCAGCCCACAGCUUGCCUGAAACCUCUCGAGAGGCCCUGAGCCAGAACCACCCAGCUGAGCCACUCCCUGAUUCCUGACCUCAGAAACUAUGUGAGGUCAUAGAUGUUUGCUGUUUAAGCUGCUGCAUUUUGAAGGAAUCUGUUACACAGCAAUAGAAAACUAAUACAAUUGGGCAGUUCUCCUUAGAGGCUGUCCUCAAGACAGUGACUCAGGAUCUGGGCUGCUUCUGUAUUACGGCUCUGCCAUCUCCUAGUGCCUCCAUGGACUCCUCUGCUUGGUCAUCACUCAGCCAUCAAGUAAAGAGAGAGACAGCAAGGAGGAUCACCCAGGAUGUUUCAUAGACAAGUCUGGAAGUGGUGUACAUUACUUCCCUCCACAUGCCAUUGCCCAGAACAUGGUCAACUAACACCAGCCUAACAGCAAGCAGGACUGGGACACGAGUCUUAUCCAGAAAGAGGAAGUGGAAUUGACUCACUUUUGUACACCAUCUUCAUGCAAAUGGUGGAGCCCUCCUCAGCUGGAACUGCCCUCAAUAAGUCAUAAUGUGGACUUUGACCUCUGACCACAUUUGGAAAGUGACCAAAUCAAGACAGAAAAAUCUAACUUGCCAAAGACCACAUAGGAAGUUCUUGGCAAAGUCAGAUGAGAAAACAGAGUUCAUGAACUUCAAGAGCCAACAUUUUUAACCACUGCCUCUGUUCCUUGUUUUGGGAACCCUUUUCCAAUAAAAAAAAAGGUAGAAAAUUCUAGAAUUUUCUUGCUUUUUUUCCAUGACCAA
Equus quagga is the source of this 875-nucleotide long non-coding RNA. RefSeq lists it as uncharacterized. Lineage: Eukaryota; Metazoa; Chordata; Mammalia; Perissodactyla; Equidae. The transcript has 3 exons. The record is from RefSeq and is a predicted model, not a curated record.